RNAcentral lists this ribosomal RNA (253 nucleotides) under uncultured prokaryote. RNAcentral's name for it is "partial 16S ribosomal RNA". It matches the Rfam family "Bacterial small subunit ribosomal RNA", at positions 525 to 777 of the family's 1533-position model. The record is from RNAcentral.
ACGAAGGGGGCUAGCGUUGCUCGGAAUUACUGGGCGUAAAGGGCGCGUAGGCGGACAGUUUAGUCAGAGGUGAAAGCCCAGGGCUCAACCUUGGAAUUGCCUUUGAUACUGUCGGACUAGAGUCCGGGAGAGGCAAGUGGAAUUCCCGGUGUAGCGGUGAAAUGCGCAGAUAUCGGGAGGAACACCAAUGGCGAAGGCAGCUUGCUGGGACGGUACUGACGCUGAGGCGCGAAAGCGUGGGGAGCAAUCAGGA